RNAcentral lists this ribosomal RNA (390 nucleotides) under uncultured bacterium. RNAcentral describes it as "bacterial SSU rRNA". It matches the Rfam family "Bacterial small subunit ribosomal RNA", at positions 28 to 420 of the family's 1533-position model. The record is from RNAcentral.
AUUGAACGCUGGCGGCAUGCUUUACACAUGCAAGUCGAGCGGCAGCGCGGGGGCAACCCUGGCGGCGAGCGGCGAACGGGUGAGGAACACAUCGGAACGUGCCCCGGAGUGGGGGAUAACGCCGCGAAAGCGGCGCUAAUACCGCAUAUGCUCUGAGGAGGAAAGCGGGGGACCAGCAAUGGCCUCGCGCUCUGGGAGCGGCCGAUGUCCGAUUAGCUAGCGGUGGGGUAAUGGCCCACCAAGGCGACGAUCGGUAGCUGGUCUGAGAGGAUGAUCAGCCACACUGGGACUGAGACACGGCCCAGACUCCUACGGGAGGCAGCAGUGGGGAAUUUUGGACAAUGGGGCAACCCUGAUCCAGCCAUGCCGCGUGCGGGAAGAAGGCCUCGG